This 316-nucleotide unclassified non-coding RNA is filed under the name uncultured fungus. RNAcentral describes it as "partial contains 5.8S ribosomal RNA and internal transcribed spacer 2". The stretch from base 1 to 133 matches the Rfam family "5.8S ribosomal RNA", at positions 22 to 154 of the family's 154-position model. Lineage: Eukaryota; Fungi. The record is from RNAcentral.
UGGUUCUGGCAUCGAUGAAGAACGCAGCGAAAUGCGAUAAUUAAUGUGAAUUGCAGAAUUUAGUGAAUCAUCGAAUCUUUGAACGCACAUUGCGCCCCUUGGUAUUCCGGGGGGCAUGCCUGUUCGAGCGUCAUUUCAACCCUCAAGCUCUGCUUGGUCUUGGGCCGCGCCAGCACUGGCGGGCCUCAAAAAUAGUGGCGGCGCCAUCGUGUCCCUCAGCGUAGUAAUUCUUCUCGCUGUUGGGCCCCGGUGGUCGCUGGCCAGUAACCCCAAACUUUCUAUGGUUGACCUCGGAUCAGGUAGGGAUACCCGCUGA